CACCAAAUUCACCGUCGAGUACGACAGGGUCAAGACCAAGCUCUACCGCAAGGUCACCGGACACAAGUCCGUGCGCGACGAGGUCGCCGCGGGAGGAGGGCUACGCAUUCAGGCUCGGCGACAGAGUCGACGCCAUCCUGGCCGGCGGUUGGUGGGAGGGGGUGGUGAUGGAGGUGUCGGACGACGCGCGUUUCGAGGUGUUCUUUCAGAGUGUGAAGCAGAAGUUUGAGUUUGAGGCGGAGGAGCUGAGGCUUGGCUUCAUAGGGAGUGGGUCCGAGGGGCUUGGCUUCGUCCUCUGAAGGAUGUGCCAAAUACCAAGGACAAAAAGGCACAGGUGAAGGAAGAAAUUGGAGUAGGGACAGAAGUUGAGGUUUCCAAUGAUGAAGAUGGAUUUCAAGGCUCAUGGUUUGCGGCCACUGUUGUCCAAGUAGUGGAGAAGGACAAAUUUCUUGUUCAGUAUAAGAGCUUAAAAACAGAUGAUGGUAAAAUGUUCUUGACAGAAGAAAUUGAUGCAGGGCACUUGAGGCCUUGUCCGCCUGAAACUGUUAUGGUCGAUUGUUAAUGUCUGAAUGACGAGGUUGAUGCUUACUGGAAUGAAGGAUGGUGGGAAGGUAGGAUACAGAAGGUGCUAAAAAGGGGGAAGGUACAGAGUUUACUUCGAGGGUACUGAUGAUACAAUGGUGUUUGACCACUCCGAUUUAAGGCCACGCCAACUUUGGAUAGAUCGAAUUUGGAUUCUGGCUUCUCAGGCACUAAAGCAGUGAAGUAUCGCGGAGAGUUCUCUAUUCCAUGUGGAGGCUAUCGGUUCAAACCAGCUAUUGAAACAGCAAAACAUUAGACUGAGGAUUGACUGUAGUAUAGGCUAUCGGGUCGUAUGUAACUUAAG
Argentina anserina (silverweed cinquefoil) is the source of this 886-nucleotide long non-coding RNA. RefSeq lists it as uncharacterized. NCBI's taxonomy places the organism in Eukaryota, Viridiplantae, Streptophyta, Magnoliopsida, Rosales, Rosaceae. The record is from RefSeq and is a predicted model, not a curated record. The transcript is spliced from 3 exons.